This 211-nucleotide long non-coding RNA is filed under the name Elaeis guineensis (African oil palm). RNAcentral describes it as "long non-coding RNA (EGUI_LNC001192)". Lineage: Eukaryota; Viridiplantae; Streptophyta; Magnoliopsida; Arecales; Arecaceae. The record is from RNAcentral.
AAUAUGAUGUACAAUCUCAAAACUGCAUACAUAAAAAAAAUCAUAUGAUUUACAAAUCCGUAACUUAUAUAUCAAGUAAUUAAAAAUUAAAAAAUUUAAAUAAAAUUAAAUUAAAUAUAUUUUUAGAAUACUUGAUGCAUAGAUAAAAGAUCUUCGAAUCAUAUCAUCUUUUGUAUAUAAACAGUUUUGAGAUAGUAGAUCACAUCUAACA